UGGGGAAUUUUGGACAAUGGGGGAAACCCCGAUCCAGCCAUCCCGCGUGUGCGAUGAAGGCCUUCGGGUUGUAAAGCACUUUUGGCAGGAAAGAAACGUCAUGGGUUAAUACCCCGUGAAACUGACGGUACCUGCAGAAUAAGCACCGGCUAACUACGUGCCAGCAGCCGCGGUAAUACGUAGGGUGCAAGCGUUAAUCGGAAUUACUGGGCGUAAAGCGUGCGCAGGCGGUUCGGAAAGAAAGAUGUGAAAUCCCAGAGCUCAACUUUGGAACUGCAUUUUUAACUACCGGGCUAGAGUGUGUCAGAGGGAGGUGGAAUUCCGCGUGCAGCAGUGAAAUGCGUAGAUAUGCGGAGGAACACCGAUGGCGAAGGCAGCCUCCUGGGAUAACACUGACGCUCAUGCACGAAAGCGUGGGGAGCAAACAGG
Molecule: ribosomal RNA, 429 nt
Filed under: Acidobacteriota bacterium
Lineage: Bacteria; Pseudomonadati; Acidobacteriota
Description: Acidobacteria bacterium partial 16S ribosomal RNA
Rfam family: Bacterial small subunit ribosomal RNA
Source: RNAcentral